CCCGGUGUAUUUUCAUAUAGUGGGAUCUGGGGAGGGUAGAAUAUACGUAGUCCAUACCACUACUUUUAAGGAAGUAGAGAAAAAUUUGCACAGAUUGUAAAGUAACAAAAAAUGACAUCUUCAACUCUCAAUUAGUCGGAACUGGUCACGAAUACACAAUCUAAAAUAAAUAAGUACACAUACUAAAAUGGUGAUCAAAUUAUUAUAAUUAAUAAUUAAUUAAAUUUAGACUUACUGCUUCCUCGGGAGGAGAGGGGGGAAGGAAGGGUGAAAGGAUCAAAAUUUUUUACUUUUUUUUUUAUUUUUGGCCAACAACCAUCUUAGAAUUCUUAGACAUAAAACUUCUUCUUGGGACUUCUGCUUCUGAUUGAGAUAUUGCUUGUACAGCAAGCUCAUCUAGUACAAUGAUUUUGUCCAAUAGAUGACAUAUCUGUUGCAACAAAUGAGUCAUCUAUUAAAAAAAAAACAAUAGCAAGAACACAACAAUAUCACCAUUUAUCAAUACACCAUAUUUACCUAUAAAACAACACCAAUAAGACCAAUAUUUAUCAAUACACCACCACCAACAACAACAACACAAACAAAUCAAUACCGCAAACACUAACACACACCAACAACACCAAUAUUUACUAAUAAAUGAAUACCAACAACAUCAACAUUUAUCAAUAUUUACAAAUAUACUAAUACAAACAAAACCAACAACACCAACAAUCAACUUAACCAACAGAAACAUUUACCAACAUUUAAUAAUACCCCAACAACAACAACACACCCAACAACAUCAACAAACAAAAACAACAACAAAGUCCAAAAAAAUGCAACAAACACCAACGAAUCAAUUGUUGUUUAAGUAAUUGUUCACUUAAAUCAACAAAACCAACAGUUGUUGAAUUUGGCCAUAACAAAUUUCUUCAAAAAAAUUUAAAAUUCAAGUUUCACUAUCUUUACAAUAAUGUUCAAGAACAAGAACUACAACAAUAAUAAAUAAAAUCAUAUUUAACUCAGAAAAGGUACCACGUUUACAUCAAUCACCAUAUUAAGAGAAGAAAUACAAUAAAUUAGAAUUUUCUUGAGUUUUCAUUUCAUUUUUAAGAGAAAUAUAUUAAAAUGGUUCACCUAUACUAGAUGAGAAAGUUAACUCAAGUUCCUUUUUUUCUUCAUAACUAAAAAGUCCUAAUUAAAAAAAAAGUCUUUACCUGUGAAAAGAGAGAAAUUGACAGUUGAAAGUCGAAAAGAAAUGAUAAAGAACUUGAAGCUAUUAUCGCCGGAGAAUGUUGUUACAUCAAUCAGUUAAGGAUGAUUUGCAGUAGUUGUUGGAUGAUUGAGAGAGAGAGGUGAGACGUUUGAGAGGAGAGACUAGGAGAGUUGUGAUUUUUGAAAACUGACUUUACUUUUUUGUUUUUAUCAAAAAUAGUUGUGGAUUGUUUUGUAUUUUUAAAAAGAUUAAGAAGUUUUAAAAAUGUUAAUUGAGUCCCCAAUUAACUUAAACUAAUUUUAGUUGUCUUUGACAUUUAAACUUGGUCAAGAGUCACCAAAAACUAAAACAAGACUUGGAGACACCUUUUGUUUAAUUUUAUUGUCAAACCAUACUCCCUUCGAUUAUAUUUUACAUUAGUUCAUGUUAAGACUUGAUUAUCUUCUUUAAGAAAAUUACUAUUUUAAAAGGUAGUUACGUGGCGAGGUCGAGGCAAAGAAUAGUAAAAAAAUGCAUUGAACCAUUGUAGGAAGGUGAAAGUAUCAAAAGAUGAAUGACUCAAAAUUUUAAGUGAUUAUUUAAGCGUUGGGGCGUUCGCCUAAGCAAGCCCAAAAAACUUGACAAAGUAAAAUGAUUUUUUUCUAUUAAAUCUCUAAUUUAAACUUACUACUAAAAUAUAUGAUUGAUAAACACUUAAAUAUUCAAACCAAAAGUAAAAAAAAAAAACUUAAAAGUCAUACUUUUAAAUGUAUUUGUCGUGGACGUCAAUGACGUCUACUAAAAGAAGAUAUUGCAUACACACUUUCCUCUUCCUAGUUCCUUUUGACUAGGUUUUAAGUUAUUUACUUUUUAUUUUUCUAUUUUAAAAUAGAAUAUAUGGUAAAUGGAUGCAUAAAUAAUUGAUUGAGUAACAAGAAGAUGGGAUUGAUUAGUCAUGUACUAUUUUUUAUACAGACUUGUGUUUUUUAGGAAAUAUAGUAGUUUUGUAUAUGAAAAGUUGACCUUAUAUAUUAGUUGUAUUAUGUGGCUUUGGUUAAUUUUUUUUUGAAGUAGUUUUAAAUAUAUCUUCCACUUUUUUUUUUUUUAUAAUUUUGAUGUAGUUUCACUUUUUUGGGUGAUUUAUCUUUUAAAAAUAUUUAUUUUUAAUUAUAUUAUUUUAUAAAAUAUUAAAAAUAAUUUGUGGAUCUUACGUCUCAUGUCGCACACGAUAAAACGCUUCGUCCCACGCCUCCGUCCUUAAAAAUACUUAAGAAAACUUUAAUUGUAUGGAUAUACUAAACUAAGCUUAUAAUGAUGCAUGAGACUUUAAAUUUGAUUACUACUAAUUUAUAUAGUUAUUUAAUAUAAGGGCAGAAAGGAAAAAUUAAUAAUAAAAUUACAUUAAUUAUCUAGAAAAAUCAUUGAACUUUGCUUUCUAUCAAAAAUACCACUCAACUUAAGAUUUUUAUUUUUUAAAAUCACUCAAUAAAAAUGACAUGACAAAAUAAAUAAAUUUUUAUGUCAUCUAAACAUAGACUCCACAUUAAUAAAAUCUACAACGAUAACAAUAACAUACCCAGUGUAUUCCUACAUAGUGGGGUUUAGGGAGGGUAGAGUGUACGCAGAUCAUACUACUACUUAUUUUCGAUAGACCCCCAACUAAAGACCGAUAACAAUAUAAAAACCCAAAACAUAGAUGCAUAUAAACUUGUACAGUAUGCAAAAUAAACUAACACCGUUAGCCACAAGAUAAUACUACAACCACAAGAUAAUACUAAAACUAUUUAUCUAAAACCAUAGAUAUCACUCAACACCACGAACAAGACUUCAGACACAAAUAAAGAAUGCUCCCCUACUGUUGCCGACACACUCCUACCCCCAACCCUCUACCCUAAUUCGUGUCCUCCAUACCUUCUUAUCAAGGUCAUGUCAUCCGUAAGCUGUAACUACUCCUUAUCAUGCUUAAUCACCUCCCUCUAAUAUUUAUUCAGCCUACCUCUACCCCGCCUAAAACUAUUUAUAGCCAGUGUCUCACACCUCCAUACUAGAGCAUCAGAUCCCCUCCUCAUCACGUGUCCGAACCAACGUAACCUCACUUCUCGCAUCCUGUCCUCCACCAAAGCCACUCACUCCCACAUUCUCCCGAAUAAUCUCAUUCCUCAUCUUAUAUUUCCUAGUAUAGCCACAUAUUUAUUGCAACAUUCUCAUCUCCGCCACCUUUAACUUUUGGAUGUGGGAGUUCUUAACUGGUCAUCACUCCCUCCAUACAACAUAAUCGGUUGGACUGACACUCUGUAGAACUUACCUUUAAACUUAGGGGGCAUCUUCUUAUCAUGUAAAACUCUCGAAACGAGCCUCCAUUUCAACCACCCUGCCCCAAUACGAUGCGUAACAUCCUCGUCAAUCUCACCAUUGCCUUGAAUCAUAUACCCUAGAUACUUGAAACUUUCCCUCUUUUGAAAGGCUUGAGAGUCCAUCUUCACAACCACCUCAGCCUCCUACGACACAUCACUAAACUUACACUCCAAGUACUCCAUCUUGGUCCUGCUCAACCAAAAUCCUUUAGACUCAAGGGUCUAUCUCCAAAUCUCCAACUUAUCAUUAACUCCCCCUCUCCCCUCGAGUCUCGUCAAUCAGUCCCACAUCAUCAAGAAAUAACAUACACCAAGGCACCUCACCUUGAAUAUGUCACGUCAAAACAUCCAUGACCAAGGCAAAUAAAAAGUGGCUAAGAGUUGAUCUUUGGUGCGACCUUAUCAAAACCAAAAAGUGCUUUGAAUCUCCACCUACCAUUCUCACACGAGUCUUCGCGCCAUCAUACAUGUCUUGAAUCAACCUAGUGUACGCCACAGGCACCCCUCUAGCCUCCAAGCACCUCCACAGAAUCUCCAUAGGAACUCUGUCAUAUGUCUUAUCAAGAUCACUAAACACCAUGUGCAAGUCCUUCUUUCUUACCUGCAACUGCUCCAAUAAUUUCCUCAAAAGGUGAAUGGCCUCAGUUCGAGCGACCUGGCAUAAAAUCGAACUGAUUUUCAAACGUAGUCACAAUCCUUCUCAGCCUUAACUCUACCACCCUUUCCCAAACCUUCAUAGUAUGACUCAACAAAUUAAUACCUCUAUAGUUGUUGCAACUCUGGAUGUCUCCAUUGUUCUUAUAUAAUGGAAUUAUCGUACUCUACCUCCACACUUCAAGCAUCUUUACCGCCCUAAAAAUGAUGUUAAACAACCUUGCCAACCACUCCAAACCUACCCCGCUAGUGCUCUUCCAAAAAUCCAUUAGAAUCUUGUCUGGCCCCGUCGCCCUACCCCGACGCAUCCUGCGAAUAGCCCCCUCAACCUUGAUCCUUCUAUAAUAACCAUAAUCACGACACUACUCAGGUUUCUCCAAGUCCCCAAUACAAAACCUUUGUCCCUCUCUCCAUUUAAGAGUUUACGAAAAUAGGACUGCCACCUCUUCCUAAUGAGCAUAUCUUCAACCAACAGUAUACCAUCCCCUCCCUUGAUGCACUUCACUUGGUCAAGGUCACGAGCUCUCCGCUUCCUGCCUUGGCAAGCCUAUACAACUUCUUAUCCUCGCCUUUCUUCUCUAAAGUUGUAUACAAUCUCUCAAAAGCUGUUGUAAACUUGUCAACUGGGCAGGGUUGGGCCGUUUCGGCUUGGUUUGCCCAACUUAUUUAGUCUACCCAGCUUGGUUUGACUCGAUCUGAUAGGCCAUCGGGCAAUUGGACCUCCAAUCUUGGGCUGGACCAUCUAGGAUGGCCAUCUCGGUGGACCUUCCCAGUUACAAAAUGGACCUGGCCCACCAGUGACCUGGCCCGAUAAUUAAAAAAAAUUAUUGGAGCCGUUUGGAUUUUGGUUCAAAAUGGACCGCUGGCCCAACAACUAUAAUGCCAUUUGAGGUCCAAUGACCAUUUGACAAAACUUCCUUAUUUUUUCUUAAAAAAUAAAUUUAAUUCAAAAAAAUUUCUAUAAAUACCCCAAAUUUAAAUCAUUUUUCACACAAUCUUAUUCUCUCAUUCUCUCAAUCUCUCUCAAAUAUUCUAAUUAUCUCUUAAAGUGCUCAAUUUUAUUUUUUAAUUUUGCAAUAACAAAUAUCAAGUGAAAGUUUUCUAAAGUCGAAACUUUUAGAUAUUUUUAAAAUUUGGUAUUGUCGUUCCGUCUCUUACUUUAAAUUUUUAAUUAGUAUAUUAAUUGUUGAAUAUUUAUCUUUAGUAUUUUUAUGUAUUUUGAAUACUUAUUAGUUUAAUUUAUAAUAUGGAUAAAUUAAGAAACCUCGGUUAAAAUGUCAAAAAAUUUUAUCCCGAAAGUGGUAGUAGUAGUAAAAAAUAAAUUGGUGGCAGUUCCGGCAGAGGUAGUUCAAGUAUUAGAUAUACCCGUGUGCCUCCAGUACUAAUUAGUCAAUCUUUUGAGGAUGAAAUAGGUGUAGGCGCUCACGGUAUGAAUUAUUUAGAAGCUCUGAAAAAUUAUGGUAUAGAAGAAGAGAAUGAAGUAGACACGGUUAAUUUAGAUGUAUUUGAUGAAAAUAUUCGCGAGACACCCGAAGUUGAAAAUGUUAAUGCUACAUUCGAAUCGGUUAAUCUUCCUCUCUGUCCUCUCCGUGCCCCUGCAAGAUCUCGUAGAAGAACUAGUAUUGAAUGAGAAUUUUUUUCAGAAAUAGAAGGAAAAAGUAAGGUGCAAUGCAAUAUUUAUAAAAUUAUAUAUGAGCAUAAAUUCGGAGACAAUAAAGGGGGUACAGGUUCGUUGAUGAGACAUUUAAGAGAUAGAAAUGCAAGAGCGUUAAGUAUUGCACAAGGUAGUGAGGCUGUUGGUGGGCCUGCACAAACUAGACUGAACCCAACAACCGGUCAAUUAGUUAAGAAUUAUAAUAAAAUAAAGGAUCGAAAAGAAAUAGCGAAAAUGAUAGUUGUGGGUCGUCUGCCUUUCACUUUUGCUUCUUUGGAUGCUUUUACUCAUUAUAUUCAAGUAAUUUAUAAUCUUAUGUUUACAAGUAUUCCUAAAAAUACUUAUCGAGCCAAUAUUUUAAACUCCAUACACAAUAUAUUUAUUAUUUAUCUGUGUUAUUAAAAAGUAUUCCAUGUAGAAUUGCUCUAACUUCUGAUCUUGAUCGUCCUAUUAACAAAAAUGAUAUUUAACAUUACAAAAAAUAGGUCUAAUUGGAAGGGUUUAUUUGUGAGGAUUAUUUUUAACCCCUGCAAAAUUAUGUUAAAUAUGAGGUUAAAAAUGUGCCACUAAAAAUUAUAUAUUUGUGGGGGUUUUAACCCCCGUUAUCCAUCUAAAAAUAGUAGCGCCAAAUGAUUUCCCCUUUUUUGCCCCUAAAACAUUUCUCUCUCUCAUUUUUCCGAGAGAGAGUGGGAGGUACUCUCCGUCGGCCAUUGAUUACUCAGUGGGAGGUACACUGGCCAUUGAUUAGCCAGUUGAUAGGAACUCCGGCCAUUGCUACAUAAGCUUCCGAUCGGCCAUUGCCUUCCUAGCUCCAGGUACUUGUUUUUAAAUCUUAGUGUUUGUUUCACUAGCGGUGCCGCCGUGGAAAGUCAUCUCCGGAAGGAUUUUCUGGUGAUGAUAUCCAUCCCACUUGAAGCUCCAAGGUAAUUCAUUUUUCUAUGUUUGAACCGACCCUAUAACGAAGAUUUGGGUCCUCCAAAGUUCAGUCAGUGAAGACCACCACUUUUCGGUCAAUCUUCGACGCCUCUGUUAGCACUAACACCUCCAUGCCACUGUCCACGGCACUUGUCGGUAGUUGGACAAAAGUAGUGUGACUCGGUGAAAGAUCACUAUGAACGAUGUCACUGCACCUUUUCAUUUUAUGUCGUUCUCUUUAUGCUUUAACUUGAAAGGAUGGUGCAAAUAAGAAUGCUAUGUACUCUAGUUCUAGCAUCUCAGGUUAUUUUUGAUUGAGUAUGAAUACCUGACCAAAUAUGUUCAAGGAUUAUGUGUUGUUCAAUAUUAUGACACUUUUUGGCUUCUCUAUUGCUGAUUUAACAAUUGUGAUGAUUUGCUAUAAAAUAAUUGUGGUUUUCAGAAUGAAGUCUGACCUAAAACCUUUCAUGAAGCAGUGUGUUUGCUCUAUAUUAGGAAAAUAGUUGGUUGAACCAGUGGUUAGAUUUGAGCCAAGGAUCUAUUGGAAACAACUCUCUACCUUACAAGGUAGGGGUAAGGUCUUGUGCACACUACCCUCUCGGUAUCUUGUUGAGGAGUAAGGUCUCAUACAUACUACCCUUUCGAUAUCUUCUUGUUGAAAAAAUGAUUAGAUUUGCCUGAACUGAACCUUUGGUAGCUGCGGAAUGGCUUCAAGAAGUUAAUUUGGAGUGCCAUCCAUAGAAGAUAUUGUUGGCAUCUACUUGUACUGCCUUAUUCAACAUUGUUAUUUACUUUGUGAUUCAAUUAAGGUGAUUUUUAUGCCCAGAAGCUUAUUUUGUUGGGAUUCUCAAACAUGUUGUUGGGUGCGUGUUGGAUCCGUCAAAAGAUUAAUGGUUUUUGAGAAACCGAUACAGGUUUAGUGACAUUUUUGAGAGUCCGAGCAACAUAGUUGGAACAACCUUUGAGUUUCACCUGUUAGCAUACACGGACCUAACAACACACACUCGUUGGGGUCAUCGCAACAUACUGUAUUCAUAUAACAGUAUUGAUAGGUCUUUGGUAUUUGAUUUGGAUUUAGGCUCAAGUAUCCACAUAAUAAUCUAAUGGUUUCUUUUCCCGGACUAAUGGAAGAGUAGAUUAAGCUAAUUUUCACAUUUGUCCAGAUCAGAAUAGUUCAAAAUCUUGCUCAAGUCAACACCAAUCGAGACCCAUAUUGAGUCAAAUUUCUACUGAUUUCUACUCAACCAAUUUUGUGCUGAUUUCCCCAAAUUUCCCUCCUACUCCUCCAUAAUUCAUAGCCUCCAAAUUGCAAUUCUCUGCCGUCUUUCUCUCAUUUUCUAAUUCUCACCAGAAGACAUAAACUACAAACUUAGCAUUUUUCUUACACGGAUUUAGUUUAAAAUUUGUGUCUGUGUGUAUUAAGUUAAACUAAAGUUGAAGAUUUCAUGUAAAGGUUUGAGCUACAUCUGCAAAUGAUCAAUUCAAUUUUUGGUGAAUUAAACAUAUUUAUAGAUUCUCCUUCGUUAUUUCAAUGAGUGAAAGGUGAAAAACACACGUAAAGAAUCCCGAGUUUCAGUAAAUGGAUACAGAAAUGGAUGAAUGAGAAUAGUUAAUAGGUAAGUAUUAAUUUGUGAUGGAGGGAUUCUGCUAAUUUGAUCAAUGAGAAAGGAUGAGAGUUGCUGAAUUGAAGACUAACAUAUCUGUGAAGAGCAGGUCUUUUCGUCCUACUUCUACACCCCAACGGUACUUACCACUAUUACUUUCUCGAUAUCCAUCUUCUUAAUUACUUACUCAUCUUUCUAAUCAUUUUGUAUGUGGAUAUUCUCGAAGAAUCUCACCUCACUUAUUGCGUUUGUUUGUAACAAGGUCCAUAUAUUAAAGAUUUGAACAUCACCAACAUUAAUAUCAUCAAAUAGUAGUACAAGAUACAAAGGGUUUAACUUUAAGAUUUAGUCCUCAAUUUAUUCUACUGCUGUAGUAAAUUUAAUAUUUUGUUGAAAUUUUGCUAGUUUUUUCACACACCCACUUACCUUAUUGUUAAAAUAUUGAUCAGUUGAAUUGAACCGAUUGACCAAAGACUGCAUUCUAUUCCGCCAUGCUGAUUGUUUUCUUGUUUAAACAUAGUAUGGUGUUAAAGGUGUGGGGACCGCUAUAGCAAUAGCUAUUUCAUUAAUUUUCAUCCUCAGAGGUCCCUUAGCAACUUCAGCUGAGGCAUGUCAUAUAAUUAUUAGCUAGCUGUUACACUAUGAUAUACACCUUACCAUCACACAGAACUUUCUUCCAACAUAUUCAGAAGAUUGUAAGCCACUUGCUACAUUAAAUCUUAGAGCAGAACACAUACAAUAUUGUAGCUUAGUUUAUGUUCUGUUGCCUCUUAAGCAGGGCCCGAGUUAGGGGGUCCAUCGAAAUUAUUCUGUAUAUACAAAGUCUACAUUGUUUUUCUGAUGUAUAUAUAGUAGAUGUGAAUCUCCUGAAAGUUCUUCUUGUAUUUACUUCGUUAUAUUUUAUUUGAAAAUUCUGGCUCUGCCACUGCUCUCAAGCUUUGGCAUGGCCUUUUGUCCGUUCCUACAGAUCUUUUACAUCCUUGUGAUCUGCCAGAAUAUAGAUAACUUUCAAAUUCCAAAUAUUUCGGUUUUUUAUUCUUGACAUGUAAGCUGAUUGUCUUCUUCUUUCUUAUUAGGACAGUGUAUGCGUUAUUUCAUAACUUCUCUUACAACUUUUCACUAUUAUCAAAUUUUCUGUUGCAGGCUGAUUUUUGAUGUUUCUAGUGAUGUUGAAGUAGGAGCGGCCAGUUUUGCUCUUCAAAAGGUAUGAAUAAUGUAGCACCUAAAUUUUCUGUGUUCUUCUAUCUUUGAUAUAUUGAUCCCUUCGUAAGUUAUUGAACGACUCAAGCUAUCUAAAGCAGUAUUCAUGCCAGUGAAUGGUUUAGUCUACAUGUAGCUUAAAAAUCACUAUCAAAGCUAUUUUAAUAUAUUGUAGGAGGUCGUGCGCGUUAUAUUUGAGUUAGUUAUCUUGAUUGUUAUGGACAAGUACUAUAGUUAUCUUUUAGGUGAUCUGUCUUGUUUUAUGUCAGUUAAUCCCACUAUAGUUCUCCACCUUAUAUACAAUGAAAAUGUAACGAAUGAAUGUUUACUAGAGUACUAAUGUGGUUGGUUGGGUGGGAACUCUACUACCCAAAUCUAUCGCACCAAGCCUUUGGCUGGGUGUGUAUAUUUUGUGUGGCAGAAGUGGAAUAAUAGGGUGUCAUGCUAAGGAUUAUACUGUAAUGCCCCGAGAGUACACUCUGGGUGUCACAUGAUACUUACGACCCCAAAGGACCACAAGCUAACCCAUGACUGGUACCUGCUAUGAGCAUUGAUUAUAAUAAUGGAACAUAUCUGCUGAAGAAAUUUGAAAAUGCCAUACGGUUCUCAGAAUACUAAAAUAAUAACUGAGUAUAACUGGUAAUAACAUUUGAAAACUGAAUAACUGACAAUGCUAGUCUGAAAGCCUCUAACUAUCUAAAUAUGGAGUAAAUGGGACAAACCCCCAACUAACUCUGACUGAAAUAACUACUGAACUAUUGGAAUACUAAAAUAGAUAAACUCUAUCCUCAAAAUAUGAGGACUCACAACUAUAACUGCUGCUGAUAGCCUGAUCUGCUAAGUACGGUCAGGAACCUGACCGUCCGAACCUAUGAUAUGAGGCAUCAUAGCGCAAAAGAGAGAGUAUGCAUCGGUAUGUGGAAUGUACUGGUAUACUAAGUGAGGUAAGGCUGAUAUACAUGGGUUCAUAUGCAUGAGAUGAUAACUGACUGAAUGAACAUCAUGAAGUAACUGAAUAAGAGUACAUGCAAAACUAUAAUUACUGAACAUGCAAUACUGCGCAUAUAGGUAAACAUCGUGUAUCUGAGCUUAUACUAAAACUGAGUACUAAUUUCUGAUGGUUGAGUAACUGAUAAUUGAUAGCCAUGGUUCAGUAGAACUGACUGAGUUCUUUAUUGAAUACUAAGACUGAAACUGUAAUUGUGGGAGUAUUCAUCUAACCGACAUACCCAAUAUAGACUGGUUUGGGGUCCAACCUAUGACCCCAGUUGGAAGGGUGUUAGCACCUUGCCACGGGUUACUAACAAUGUUAUGUCAACUCUAAUCUGGCAGGAAAACCAUGAAAUAUAUAUGAUUGCAUCAACCCUAGUCUGGCAUGAAGACAAGUUACCCUACGUUGGCUACGUAGUUCUGUAACUCAUGGAUUGCUACUAAGGACCAAGCCCUAACUGGCAGGAAUGCCCCCAACCCUAAGUUCGCUCGGUGCUGAAUCGUACUCCUAAUUGAAAGACACUGAUCACUACACUGUACUAAGUUUGACUGGACUGACCCUGAUUGUGUUGACUGACUGAACUGGUCUGAGUUCACUGAGUUCUGUUAACUGAGUGAGUCCUACUGAUCUUGACCUUUUACUGAGACUAUUCUAUAACUACUGCAACUAAGUAAACAACUAAAUUUCAGGUAACAAAUACCCCCAGGACUCGAUAGCAUAAUGGAGAAACUCAUUAGAACUUUAGCAACACAAAAAUAGGUUACUAUGCAUAAUUUACUCAUAUGGACAUUUUAUCAAACACUAGGGGAGCAUGAUUGCUAUACAUGAUGACUAACCAGAUAGAGUAUCAUAACUACAACAUGCAACUAGCAAAUUCAAGGGUUUUGACAUGAGAGAUUCAUAAUCUAACACACAUGCUAACUUAAUUUCAUGGAACUCAUAAAAGAUCUUAACUUGAAACCCAUACAACAACACAAACAUGAACAUAAUUUAAUUCAUAACAUGGGAAUCAUAAUUCAAGUUUUGAAAAGGGUUCUUAAACUCCAAGGGCGGAAGGAAACCCAAGGAUAAACACCUAACAUAUACUUGAGUGACGAAAUUAGUGAAGAUUGUUGGGUAUUUCUUGAAACUUGAUCUUGAGCUUGAUGAACUAGGGUUUAUUUUUUGAGAGGAUUUUGAUAAUGAGUGAAUGUAUUUUGUCUAUUGAGGGUCUGAAUUUCGUGAUAUGGGGGUCUAAUGUGGGAAGAAAAUGACUUAAUUACCCCCACAAACCCGUAACUUAAUACAAAAUCUCUGCCCAGCGAUGCAAUGACCGAUGCGCCGCAUCAAUGAUGUAGAUGCGAUUGCCGACGUGCCGCAUCGAUGCUGUCGACGUGAUAGCCAACGCGAUGCGUCAAGAUCGCAUUGGUUUGCUGUUUUGGUCAUCUAAACGUGACUCUAACAAUGUCCAAGAAAUUUGAAACUCACCCAAGAUGACCUAUUGACAUCCCUGAUCAUGAAUCAACUUAAAAAUUGAUAUUCUAAGGUCGUAAGGAUAAAAAAUAAGAUCAUCCAAUUACAAAGGUUAAAAAUGCUUCUAAGUCUUAACACUCAGUUGAAUUUUUUUUAAGUCUGAGACCCCUUAUUACAAGCUUUAUGAGACUGAAUUAAACUAGAGCUUUUGUGGGGUCUUACAGAUACAAGGAGAGUACAACUACUAACAAGGGAGAUAGGUAAUAUCACAGUAUGUUGUCAAACACAACGAAAAUUGAGACCACCUGAACUAUUCAUCCCCCAAACUAUACAAACGAGACAUAAUAGAGAGAACUCAUUACAGCAAAAUGAGAAAUGUAAUAAGAGGCGCACAACUACAGAGUUAUAUCAAAGGUAAUAAGAAACAGAAGCUUAUGAAUCAAAUAGAAUGCUAAUAUCAAAGUUAAAAAGAAAAGAAAAAGAAUAAAAGGUGCUAAGCUAGUCACUGUCACGUGCUGUCAGCACUCCUGGGAGCACCAGUGGUUGAUUUGAAUUUUGAAAAGUCGACUAGGUCCCCGGAUAAUUUGUCUUAUGGUUUUGAUGGCUUUCCAGAUGGCAUAUACGAAGGAGUGGAAACUAGAUAAGAAGAACCAUUAUUUGUCAUAGAGAACCCAGACGUUCCUUGGGCUAGGAACUAAGUAUUUUGUUGUUGAGGGUUACCAUAAUCAUAACUGACCAUUUGGUUAACAUACAUUUGUUGGGAAUACAUAUAAGCCAUAUGACCAGAAGGCAUUUGUUGUGGAUAUAAACCCGUUGGCUGUUCACGUUGGAAUUGUUGAGGAUGCAAGCCUUCCAUCUGAUUGCUUUGCAUGGUCUAAUUAUUCAUCAUAGCAGGUUGUCCAGUAGUAUUUGGCUGAUAUAUGUCGUGGAGGUAUGUACCGCCCACUAGUUGUUGGGCAUUUGCUGCAACCAGCUGAUUAUUUUGCAUUGACAUAGCAUGUGGACUUCCAGGCAUCACCUGAUUAUUAAGCAUAGGCUGAGCACUAUACUACUUUUAUGCUCACAAGUCAAAUAUUAACUAUUAAAUUUCAAAUCAUGUAACCCAAAUACAACUGCUAUGAAUCAAUUUUACAUAUGAGCCAAAAAUUGGGUUUAAUAGGAAGAUUAUGAUGAUAUUGUCUGAAGAACCGGUUUUCUAUUUUGGUUAAACUCAAAUAUCGAUGAUGUUUUUAGUUGUACGCAGAUAUAAAUAUUUUAUAACAAGGACUGAAAAUUUAUCUGAUUGAUUUUUAUACUUUACAUUUUUAUGUAGCCAAGUGAUGCGGCUAGUUGACCUAUUUUGUCCAUGGAUGCAAAGAGACCAUAUGAUGAUAGUAAUCCUAAUGACGGCCAUUGAUUUCGUUACAGAUUGUCUUGGAUAUUCAAUUAAGAUGAUGUAACAGUGUGGUUGGAGCGAAUCUUAAAAUAUUGAAGGUCUUGUGUUUAAAUUUGAUUUUGGAGUUCGAAGAUACUAGUUUAUGUUGAAAAUUUGGAGUUUGAAGAUGCUAAUGUUGAAAAUUUAAUUUUGAAGUUUAAUGUUCAAUGCAUUUUUGAAAUGCUUGUCACUUACAAUGUCUAAUUAGUCAUAUUGUGUUAAUAUAUGAAUUGAAUCAAUAUUGGAUUGUAGAUUAUGUCUAAAGGAACAAUUAAAUUUCAGCUAAAAUUAGAAUUUAUAAUUUGUUAUUGAAAAUUGAUGGGUCCCACUAAAUUUUAAAAAAAAGUUCGGAGGUUUUAAACCGCCUCAAUUUGUAAAUAAAAAUUUAUUAUAAAAGAAUUAAAUUUAGAGUAACGGAGGUCAACCGUCGCAAAAUAAUCUCCACAAAUCAAAUAUGACGAUCGAAAAAAAUUGUCGCAAAUUGUUUGUGACGGUUCGUAUUGUGGGGGUUUUGGGAACCGCCGAAAUCGCAAUUUGCGGGGGUUUAAAACCCCACAAACCUUAAAAUUAACCCCCGCAAUUUCACCCUCUUUUUGUAAUGAACAAUUACUUGUCACUUGAUAGAUAGUAAUUUUGUUAUGCAAAAACGCAUUCUAGCAUUUUUGUAUGAUGAAGAUCAUAGACACAUUGAAAGAUUUAUUUCUGAAUCUAUUUCUAAAGUAGCAAAAUAUUAUGGUAUUAAAAGAAAAGUUAUAUGUAUAGCUUUUGAUAAUGCAUCUAACAACAAUGCUGCUGAUGAGUUGCUAAAAGUUGAACUUUCUCCGCCGUUAUCCAAAAUAUUUCAUGUUAAAUGUACUUGUCAUAUAUAUAAUUUAAUCGUAAGAGAUGGUCCUAAUUUUUUUGAGCUUUCUAUUGAAAAAGUCAGGCUUGAUGUUAACUUUAUUCAAUGAAAUAAUCAAAAAGCUUGAGUGAGAGAAUUUAAAACCAAAUGUGAACAUAAUGGACUUAGACCGAUAUUUAUGCCUGAAGAAUGUGAUACUAGAUGGAAUGCUACUUAUACUUAUUUAAAAACUUGUCUUGCUUAUAAAGUUCCUAUUAUAAUGACUUUUAAUCAUUAUUCUGGUUCUUUUUCUGACUGUAUGCUACAUGAUUCUGAUUGGGCUGCAAUUGAUGAUCUUGUUUAAUUUUUGGAAAAGUUUAUAUAGCUACGAUUGAAUUCUCUUGUGCUUAUUAUCCUACUGUUUGUAAUAUUUUAGCUUAUUUAGCCGACAUUUCUUGUUUGCUUAACGAAUAUAAGAAUAAACAAGGUUACAAAGAAGUUAUUACUACUAUGAUUGCUAAAUUUUAAAAAUAUCUUUAUCUGUUUUCCUCAAUUUAUUUGAUUAGUGCUACAAUAAAUCCAUGUAUGAAAUAUAAUACUAUGUCUGAAUUUAGUUCUAUUAUUUAUAAUGAUUUAGAGAUACAGCCUGAAAAAGAACCUUCUUUGUUUACGGCUAUGAAUGAUGCGAACAAUUACAUGCAAGCAUUAUAUAACCAUUAUACCGAUUUACUUGAUGAAGCCGUACCGACAAAUAUCACUCCAACUGUCGUUCCUCAAACUCGAUCCCCAGGAGUCACCAUCUUCUAAAAGGCAGACACAUAGUAGUUAUCCUGAUUACUUUUUUGAUUUAAAUGUUUGGAACAGGGUGCAACCUUCAUCACACAAAACAAAUUCUCAAGAAGAGCUUAAGUAUUUUCCUUGACAGCCGAUAGAGGAUCGUAGAGCAAGGAUCUGCGCACUGAAUUAUUGGAAGAAUAAUGAAAGACAAUAUCCAGUGCUUUCAAGAAUAGCUAGAGAUAUAUUGAAUUUUCCAAUGUCAACUGCUGCAUUGGAGCACGCUUUUAGUCACGACGACAAAAGCUUGGAGACAACUGACACUCCUUGGGAAGCAAUGCUAUGAAUGUUCUAGUUUGCCUUAGAGAUUGAAUUAGAGCGGAACAAAGAAAUCAAGGAAUGGAGGAUGAGCCGAAAUACGAACAAAAUCUUGAAGAAAUUAUGACUUCAAGAGAGAACUCAACACAAUCAAGUCCAAUGCAUGAUUUAGCCUUUGCCCUCGAUGAUUUUGAGUUUUCUAUGGCAGUUCCCGUUAAUAUUACCAUGCAUGAGUUGAAAAAAAUGAUGCAAAAUUUGUAGAUUUUUCAUUCAUGUAAAUUAUAAGUUUUGGAUCAUUUUGCAAUCAAUAAAUACAAUACUCAUUCACUCCUUACUUAUUUUUUUAAUUUAAAUUGAAUGUCUAGUUUGAAUUAAAUACUUUUAAUAUAUUACUAAUUUACUAUCAAACUUUACACUAAGUGUUAAACAUAACAAACAUAUAUACAUAUAAUUAAAAAAUAAAAAUAUAUUAGCAAAUAUUACUUAGACAAAUAGUAUUGACAUAUAAAAAUACUAUAAGUUUAUCUUUUAAGUGUUGUAUGUAAAAUGGUAAAUUUUUGAAUGUAUGUUCAAAAACUUCAAGUAUCAUUAUAUUAAGUAGUAUAUAUUGUAAUAUUGUAUGUAUAUAUGCGUGUAUAUUUUUUAAAGUACUAUAACAUGUAAUGUAUAUAGCUUUCAACUUUCAAGUGGUAUUUUAAGUAGUAUAUAUUCUACAUAGAUGUGUAUAUUUUUUCUAUAGUAUUAUAUAUAUAGUGUAUAUAUGUAGUAUAUAUAUUGUUUCAAAUAGUAUUUUAAGUAGUGUUUAUAUAUAUAUACAUACAUAUAUAUCUAUAUAUAUAUUAUAUUGUAUGUAUAUAUGUAUAUAUAUUUUCUAUAAACUCUAUAGUAGUAUAUAUUUAAUGUAUAUAUGUGUACAUGUUUUAUAAAGUAGUAUAUGUAUAGUGUAUAUUUGUUGUAUGUAUAUUGUUUCAAGUAGUAUUUUAAGUAGUAUAUAUAUUAUAUUGUACGUAGGGGUGACAAUUUCAGCCCAUAUUUGUAAAAAGAAUCUAUUUAACCCAUAUUUAGUGAAUUGGAUCACUCAUAUUUCUAAUGGGUAAAUAUGAACUUCAACUCAUUUUAAAAGCUCAUACAAAUAUGAACAAAAUGGGUAAAAUAUGGGUACCCAUUUAAACACAGAGAUCACCCACCUAUGCUUAAAGUUCCAGUUUUUUUUUCUUUUCUAGUUUCUUUUCUUCUUCUUGUUUUCUUUCUUUUUUCCUUUGAUUUACUUUUUUUCUUUUUCAUUUUUUUUUAUUUUUUUACUCAUUACUUAUAAUUUCUUUUUUUCUUUCUCAUUUUUUCAUCUAUUUUUUUAUUUUUAUUUCUUUUUUCUUUGUAUUCUUUUUUUUUUCCGCUUUUCCUUUUCUCAUUCUUAUUUCAUCAUUCGUAUUCAUUUGAGACCUACAUGGGUUAAUAAAUAUAAGCUUCUAAUUAUCCCAUUUAGCCUAUAUAAUUCAUAACAUCUCUUAUCAAUUAAAUAUAAUCCAUAGUGUCACUCCUUUAUUAUUAUUUUUUUUACCUUUUAUUUCUUUUUCUUUUUUUUUUCUUUCUUUUUUCCUUUAAUUUAAUAUUUCUUUCUUUCUUUUUUCCUUUAAUUUAAUUUUAUUUUAUUUUUCAUUUUUUCCACUUAUUUUUACUCGUUUCUUACACUUUUUUUUCUUUCUUCUUUUUCAUCAUUUUUUUUAUUUUUCAAUUUUAUUUUUUUGCAUUUUUUUUUGUAUUUUCGUUUCCCCCUUUUUCAUUCUUGGUUCGUCAUUUUAUCUUUUUUCUUAUUUUUUUAUAUUCUUUUUCUCAUCUUUUUUUUGUCAUUGCAUUUUAUAUUUUUUUACUUUAAAUUUAUUUGUAUCAUACAAUAUAUUUCAAAUAAAUUUAUUAUUUGUAUUUGAAUAGUUUAGUUGUCAAUAUGUGCAAUUUAUCAUUUGUAUUUAUAUACAAAUAAGUAUAUGAAUUAAAAUCAACAUGAGCUGUGCUACAGUGGAUGGAGCUGCUCCACCCUUAACCAGAGGUCGAGGGUACGACCCUGGUUAUGGAGAAAACUCUGUUGGGAGCGCUGCCACCUUAAUGGGCCCUGCAACACCCGAUCCGAAUUAGUCGGGGCUCCAAUGCUGACAUCGGACACCGAAAACCGGAUGAAAAAUCAAAAAAAGUAUAUGAAUUAAUUGUAUUUUUUUUAGACUAAAAUAUAUAUGACUGAGGAUCCACAUAGCCCUCAAACUAUAAAUGUUGGACGAAUAUAAAUCAAUAUGCGCUUAUGGUAUUUUCGUUGUCAUAAUAAAAAGAAGGAAACCAAAAAUAGAAAAAAAAAUAGAAAAAGAGGUAGAAGUUAGAAAUAGAAGAGAGAAAAAAUUGUAAAGAAAGAAUUGAAAAAAAAAUACAAAAAAAAAUCAAAAAGAAAAAAUAAUGAAAAAGGAAAAAAGGAAAAAGAAAAAAGAUGAUGGUGAAAAUAAAUAUACUGAGUGGUUACGAUAUUUUAGUCAUCAUCCAUAAUUUGUACUCGACUUAACCAUGUUCUUUGAAAAUAAAAAAAAAUAUAAAACAUAAAAUACAACCAAAAAACAAAAAAAUGAGAAAGAAGUAAAAAUAAAAAAUAGAAAAAAAGGAGACUAAAAAGGAAAAGAAAAAAAAAAAGAAAAAAGAAAGAGAAACAAAGAAAUGACAAAAAAAUGGCAAAAGAGAAAAAAAAAAUUAGAGGCUACAUAUAGAAGAGAGAUAAAAAAAUCUAAAAAGAAAAAACUAAAAAAAAAUGAAAAAAAAGUCAAAUUGAUAUGAUAUAGAAGUUUUAAGUUUUUGACUUAGGAUUUAAAGUGGGUUGAAACCAUUUUUACCCAAUUCAUAUUUGACCAAAUCCAUAUUUACCCAUAUUUAUAUGGGCGGAUUGCAAUCCAAACCAUUUUUGCUCGAUCCAUACUUAACCCGUCCAAAUUCAAUCCAAUCCGCCUGUUUGCCACCCCUAAUUGUACGUAUAUAUGUGUGUAUAUAUUUUCUAUAGACUCUAAAGUAGUAUAUAUUUAAUGUAUACAUGUGUAUAUAGUCUAAAAUAGUGUAUAUAUGUAGUAUUUAUAUUGUUUCAAGUAGUAUUUUAAGUAGUAUAUAUAUUAUAUUAUACGUAUAUAUGUGUAUAUAUUUUCUAUAGACUCUAAAGUAGUAUAUAUUUAAUGUAUACAUGCGUAUAUGUUUUCAAAAAUCUAAAGUAGUAUAAUAUGUAAUGUAUAUAUGUUGUAAGUUUAUUGUAUAAUGUAUUUAAAAUGUAUAUAAGUGUGAAUAUAUAGUAUAUAUUGGAAAAAACAUGUAAUUUCUAGUUUUAAUUUUUUUUUUUUACAUUUUGAUCGAUUUUGACCUGUUAAAAUCGGUUUAAAGCUAAGUGGGCCGAUCACGGGUUGAUUGGCAGAUUUUACUGUUGGGCCCGAACCGAACCAACCAUUAAGCUUGACCCAGGACCGGACUGACCCAAAAUCCGGUAAGAAAAAUUGGGCCGAUGUCAAUUUGAACAGGACCAGCCCGGUUAACAGGGUCAAGCUGUUGUCUUAGCCGCCGUAACCGCUAACUUAGCUUUUCUUCUAGCUACCUUAUACUCCUCCUUAUUCGUCUACCUCACCUCAUCAUCUUUGGUCUCAACCAACUUAGCAUAAGUCACCUUCCUCUUAACCUCUUCGUUCCACCUCCAGUCCCCUCGAUGCUUGCCAGAUCGACCUCUCGAGAUACCCAACACCUCUCUAGCGGUCUCCUUAAUUCAACUGACAGUCGUCUCCCACAUACUACCCAUAUUUCCUCUACUCUCCUAAGACCCUCUAUUCUUUAACUUCUCCUCCAUCUCCAAAGCACUAGCCAAAGUCAAGCUAGCCCACUCAAUCCUGGACCGAGCCUCCACACUCCUCUUCUUUCUUCCCUUAUUGAUUACCAAGUCCAUCACCAAUAACCUAUAUUGAGCCAAGAAAUUCUCGCUAGGUAUGACUUUACAGUCUUUACAUAGCACUCUAUCACCCUUCUAAAGGAGCAAAAAGUCUAUCUAAGUAUUGGCAACUGAACUAUGAAAAGUAAUAAUAAGGUGCUCCUUCUUCUUCGAAAAACUCGAAUUUGCUAUCCACAACCCAAAAGCCCUAGAAAAAUCCAAAAGAGAAGCUCCUCCUUCAUUCCUCUCCCCAAAAUCGAAAUCGCCAUACGUAUCAUCAUAACCUCUCGACAAAGACCUAAUAUGCCCAUUAAAAUCACCUCUCACAAAAAGCUUCUCAGUGCACGGGACGCCCCUCACUGCCUCAUCCAAAACCUCCCAAAAUCCCUUCCUUUUCUCCUCGUCCAAACCUACUUACGGAGCAUAGGCACUAAUAACGUUCAUUGUAGACCCUUCAAUGAUCAACUUAAUAGACAUCAACCUAUCACUGAUUCUCUUAACCUUCACCACUUGCUCCCUAAGUUCUUCAUCUACUAAGAUACCUACCACAUUUCUAUGUCUCAUGCUACCCGAGUACCAUAACUUAUAUCGAUCCACAUCUCUUGCCUUAGUGCCUAUCCAUUUAGUUUCCUAGACAUACGCUAUACUAACCCUCCCCUUUCUAAGAAUAUUUAUCAAUUCUAUAGACUUACCUUGAAGUGUCCCUAUGUUCCAGGACCCAAUGCAAGCACCCUUAUCUCACCUAGCCCUACUCCCCUUCGCCCCAACCCCGAACUCGAACCUAAACCCGACCCCAGCCCCGAUUCCAAUCUAUGACAUGAACCUAAUCCACCAUCUAUCCACCUAGCCACCAUUGAAAAGGAUAUGAUAGAAGAAAAUGAAGAAAAAAAGGAGACAAAAAACACGAUGUACAAAGGGUACGACUAAAAACAGCUAAAUAAGCAAACAAAAACCAGCAAGCAGGCUUGACACUUCGAAGCAACAACAAGCACUAUACUACCCACCAUAGGUAUGCUAAUAAAGAACAACUACUAAGUUACGGAGAAUGAAACCAGUAAUCCCAUAGGAACAAUCAAGAAAACCAGACAAGACAGCAAGAUAGAAAAAGAGACAAAAAGCCUAUACCAAAUAAAGUAGGGAGGAAUAAACAAGAGAAGAAUGAAACGAGUGCACCUGAUAUUGGGAGAAGACGCAGUGAAGGACGUUUUCUUGAUUGUUUUGUCGAAUUCCGAUAAAUUAGUGCCGAAAUUAGUCACCGAAAUUUGCUGCCUUUACCCUACUGCUGGUACUGUGUCCCUAUAAUUGGUCACCGACGAAUGUGUUGGUCGCCGGAAAAUGAGCUGGUCAUCGAAAUCUUGAUGUCGUCGCUUGAAGUACCGGAUCUGGGCUUGUAGUACCUACAAAAAGGUUAUAAAGAAAAAGGAACAAAGCUGAAAUACUCGCCAGAAACCGAUGUCACUCACCGAAAAUUGAUGUUCGUCCGUGAAACUUCGGCGUUGGCUUGGUGCGUCGACUGUGACACUGGUUCUUCAUCGGUGUUUGAGGAGAUGGAAGUGGACAGGGGUUGUAACUGUUGGUUUCUCCGGCAGUGGCCGACGUUACGGAUAUCGGUGAGGAUGGUGCUCUACCGACGAGGGUGAGAGUAGUGCAGUCUCACCGGUGAGAAAGUGAGGGUGUCGGCUGGUUUUGUGACUGGUGGGCUGUUCAGGGUGGUCGCUUGUGGUUGGCGGCGGUUGGCGAGUGAGAUCCAAGAAGGACGAAAACAAGAGUUCAAGGACGAAAAUCUUCCGUGAAUUCUUUAAAGAAUCAUUAAAACUCGAAAAUUGAGGAGUCUUCCUUUUCUUCGUUUCAUAUUAGUCUCUCUGCUUCAAAAUUUUGGCACUUUCCCUGCAUAUGCUUAUUCUUUUUUCCUCGAUAAAAUUUAUUCCUUUUAAUUUUUAUAUCAAUACAUCCUUGAAUUGAGUUUUAUUCCUUUAUACAGGCUGAUGAUUAUUUAGUGUUAAUGAGUUUUGUACGCUUUGUUUCAUGAAUAAUUUAGGAGUUAAU
RNAcentral lists this long non-coding RNA (21298 nucleotides) under Capsicum annuum. RNAcentral's name for it is "long non-coding RNA (CANN_LNC005299)". Lineage: Eukaryota; Viridiplantae; Streptophyta; Magnoliopsida; Solanales; Solanaceae. The record is from RNAcentral.